UCUCCGUAGGUGAACCUGCGGAGGGAUCAUUACAGAGUUCAUGCCCUACCGGGUAGAUCUCCCACCCUAUGUUAUUAUUACUUUGUUGCUUUGGCGGGCCGUUAGGCUCCGGCCCGACUACCGGCCCCGGCUGGUAAGCGCUCGCCAGAGGACCCAAAACCCUGAAUAUUAGUGUCGUCUGAGUACUAUAUAAUAGUUAAAACUUUCAACAACGGAUCUCUUGGUUCUG
Molecule: unclassified non-coding RNA, 229 nt
Filed under: plant metagenome
Description: partial contains small subunit ribosomal RNA, internal transcribed spacer 1, and 5.8S ribosomal RNA
Source: RNAcentral